Molecule: ribosomal RNA, 445 nt
Filed under: uncultured bacterium
Lineage: Bacteria
Description: bacterial SSU rRNA
Rfam family: Bacterial small subunit ribosomal RNA
Source: RNAcentral
CCCAGACUCCUACGGAGGCAGCAGUGGGGAAUAUUGCACAAUGGGGGAAACCCUGAUGCAGCGACGCCGCGUGAGUGAAGAAGUAUUUCGGUAUGUAAAGCUCUAUCAGCAGGGAAGAUAAUGACGGUACCUGAGUAAGAAGCCCCGGCUAACUACGUGCCAGCAGCCGCGGUAAUACGUAGGGGGCAAGCGUUAUCCGGAUUUACUGGGUGUAAAGGGAGCGUAGACGGCAUGGCAAGUCUGAAGUGAAAGCCCGGGGCUCAACCGCGGGACUGCUUUGGAAACUGUUAAGCUGGAGUGCAGGAGAGGUAAGUGGAAUUCCUAGUGUAGCGGUGAAAUGCGUAGAUAUUAGGAGGAACACCAGUGGCGAAGGCGGCUUACUGGACUGUAACUGACGUUGAGGCUCGAAAGCGUGGGGAGCAAACAGGAUUAGAUACCCGAGUAC